UGUGAUGAUCCGGCCGAUGCAACUUAUAUUCCAGAGGAGGAGAGUACGGAUACUUCGGACAGUUCAACGGGUUCUCCACAUUUUGGAUUCCUAGCGGGCACGUCCAAUCCAGAUGCUCCACGGACUAUACAAGAAGCACUGAGUGGUCCAGACGCUGACAAUUGGAGGGAAGCAAUGUCUUAGACCCACUGGAAAGCAGCCAAAAGAGUCUUGCGCUACUUGAAAGGUACCUUGGAUCUCCGUUUGACUUUUAAGAAAAGCAAGCAGCAGCUGGAUAUCACUGGAUAUGCGGAUGCAGACUGGGGCAGUGACGACGUAGACCGCCGGUCGUACACGGGCUACGUCUUUAAAAUAGAAUCAUAUAUGCUCGAGCAACAGCUGUCAGGUCAAAGAUUAAGUCACAAAUAAAUAUCCCAAUCACGUAAAAGGAAACGGUGACACAGUUCAGACCCACCUACAUCAAGACAGUCGCAUUUACUGGAUCAUGAUUAUUGUAAAAAAAACAAGAGCAGCUUCCAAUCACCUAAAAGAAAAAAGUUAUCUGCUGCAG
Molecule: long non-coding RNA, 550 nt
Organism: Cydia splendana
Lineage: Eukaryota; Metazoa; Arthropoda; Insecta; Lepidoptera; Tortricidae
Exons: 4
Source: RefSeq, a predicted model, not a curated record